This 492-nucleotide ribosomal RNA is filed under the name uncultured bacterium. RNAcentral describes it as "partial 16S ribosomal RNA". It matches the Rfam family "Bacterial small subunit ribosomal RNA", at positions 28 to 507 of the family's 1533-position model. The record is from RNAcentral.
GAUGAACGCUAGCUACAGGCUUAACACAUGCAAGUCGAGGGGAAACGGCAUUGAGUGCUUGCACUCUUUGGACGUCGACCGGCGCACGGGUGAGUAACGCGUAUCCAACCUUCCCAUUACUGUGGGAUAACCUGCCGAAAGGCAGACUAAUACCGCAUAGUCUUCGAUGACGGCAUCAGAUUUGAAGUAAAGAUUUAUCGGUAAUGGAUGGGGAUGCGUCUGAUUAGCUUGUUGGCGGGGUAACGGCCCACCAAGGCGACGAUCAGUAGGGGUUCUGAGAGGAAGGUCCCCCACAUUGGAACUGAGACACGGUCCAAACUCCUACGGGAGGCAGCAGUGAGGAAUAUUGGUCAAUGGACGGAAGUCUGAACCAGCCAAGUAGCGUGCAGGAUGACGGCCCUAUGGGUUGUAAACUGCUUUUGUAUGGGGAUAAAGUUAGGGACGUGUCCCUAUUUGCAGGUACCAUACGAAUAAGAACCGGCUAAUUCCGUG